RNAcentral lists this long non-coding RNA (3104 nucleotides) under Homo sapiens (human). RNAcentral describes it as "HSALNT0322198". The record is from RNAcentral. Lineage: Eukaryota; Metazoa; Chordata; Mammalia; Primates; Hominidae.
CUCCCGAAGUGUUUGGAUUACAGGUGUGAGCUACCGCACCCGGCAACAAGGACAUUUUUAUACAAGCUGAUAGGGCUGUGAAUUCCUGGUUGUAUGAGACGUGAAUUCCUGGUUGCUCCACUCCAUCUUUCCGGAGUGGAGACCCCAAAUUCUGUUGGGGAAAGUGUACAACUACUGCUCUUAACUGCUUCCUGCCGACAAGGGGUGCUGUUUUGGGAAAGUGGCAGUUAAGGCUCCUCCUGAGAAUCCUCCAUCUCAGGAAGGCCCCAGUAUUGCCAGGCUGGGAGAAACCCAAGCCAUGAGGAUAGACCAUGAAUAGGAGUUCUGGUUGACAAUCCCAGUUCACUCCCAGCUUCAAAUACACAAGGCCAAGUGCCAGAUACGGGCAUAAAAAGCAAUUUUGGAAGUGGACACUCCAGUCCCAGCUGUCCUAGCCCUCAGCUAUUUGAGUUGCAUCCAGACAUGUAAAUCUUCCCAGCUGAGGCCUCAUCAUUGAGGUGCAGAAAAGGGGCAUGCCCAUUGUGCCUGUUUCUAAAUUCCUGACCCACAGAACCUCUAAUCAGCAAUACAACUGGGAUUUGAUAUCAGAUUCAUGCGAUUCCGAAGACCCUGACCACCAAAUGCAAAAGAUGCUGUAGUCUGAGUAGCUGAAAUCACUCAUAUAGGCACCACCUUACAUGACUGAUGCCCAGUAAAAGCCCUGGAGACCAAAACUUAAAUGAGCUUCUCUGAUUGACAACACUUCAAUAUGCUGUCAAAUAUUGUUGCUGGGAGAAUUACGUGUGUUCUUGUGGGAUUCCGCUGGGAGAGGACACCUGAAAGCUUGUACCUGAUAUCUACAUUUCUCCCCAUGGGCUUUUUUUCUUUGUUGAUUUUAAUCUGUAUCUUUUCAUUGUAGUAAACUGUAACUAUGAAUGUAACAUGUUUUCUAAGACCUGUGAAUCAUUGUAGUUAAUCUUUGAGCCUAAGGGUGGUCAUAAGGAGCCCCAACACACUAAUAAAUUACUUUCAUAAAGAAUAUAUAAAAGCUGUCAAAAAUCAAAAAUAAAACAAAUCACCCAAUUUUUAAAAGGCAAAAGAUUGAAAAAGACACCAUGAAAGAAGACAUGGAUGACAAAUAAGUAUAUCAAAAGAUUUUAACAUCUGUAGUCAUUAAAGAAUUGAAAACCACAAAGAAAUACUAUUGAUAGUUAUUACAAUGUCCAAAGUGAAAAAAAAGUAUUGACCCUACCAGGUAUAGGCAACAAAAUGGAGGAACUGAAACUUUAAUAUACUUUUGAUUGACAACCACUUUGUAAAAUAGAUUGACAGCUUCUUAAAAAAGUAAACCUACACUUACCACUUAAUCUAGUCAUUUAUCUUCUAGAUAUUUCCCCCUCGAAAAAUGAAAAAGAAAUUGUUGUAUAUAAAUGUUCAUAGGCAUUUUCUCUUUAAUAGCUAAAACGUGGUCAUGACCCAAAUAUUCAUUAACAAGUAAUUGGUGAUAUAUACAUACAGCAAAAUUCUGCUCAGCAAUAAAAAUGUUCGACUACUGACACAUGCAACAACAUGAAUGAAUUUCAAAAGAAUUUUGCUGUAAAGCAAAAAUGCCAGCCAAAAAAUAGUGCACCUUAUAUGAUUCCAUUUAUAUAAAACUUCUGAAUGCACCAAUAUACAAUAUACAGUAACAUACAAUACUGAAAGAUGGUCAGCAGUUGUCUAGCUAAUAUGCUUAUUAGGAGAGACAAUAAUUGCAAGAGGGGAUUAUUAAAAGUAGUCAUGAGGAAACAUUCUGUGGAUUUAUAUGUUCACUAUCUUGACAAUAAUGGUGAUCUCAUGUAUGUAUAACUAUGUCAGAGCAUAUCUAAUAAUUUAUCUUAUAUAUUUUUGGCUUUUAAUAUAUUAAUUAUAGCUCAAUAAAUUUCUUAAAAACUCAUUGGACUCUAUCUGUAAUGUGUGUAUGUUUAGUUUUAAGUAAAGUGCAGCUAAAUUUUUCUCCACCAUUACAAUUUUCAAACAUACUUUCACUUACAGAACAGCAUACUGAAAAUUAACACAUGCUUUUAUAAUUAUAAAUAAAAUAGUAAUAUAUCAUUUCUGCUGAAAUAAAUGCAAACCAAUUACAAGGAAUUUAUUUGUUUUGAUUUUAGUUACUUCAUAUGUAUUAGCAUCUAAGCCUCAAAGAUUCACUAUGUAAUUGUGUAAAUUAGUAGUAGGGUUACCUGAAUCUGGCUUAAUAAUCAAUUAAUCAGUAUUUAUCUUUAAACAUUUUUUCCUUUAUGAAUUGCGUCACACUUUUAAAGAGCCCUUCCUACAAGCAUAUAUAAAAUAUAUUCUUAUACUAUUUUAGAAUAAUUUCAGAAGUUAGAUUGUUUUCUAGUUUUUAGUGUUUUCAUUGAUACCAAAUUUAUUUUUAUGUACAUAAAUGUAUGAUUUUAAGUCAGAUUAUUUCAAACUGGUAUCCCUGCAAUUAUCUGAACAGAAUUUUUAAGUAGUCACAUUGACUUUUUUUUUUUUAAAGUUAGUUUUAAGCUAUUUGAUAACAUAUGGAUCUACUUCACUAAAGUUAUAUUUUUGUGUGUAAUUCUUUAAUCCAUCUGGAGAUAUUUUGGUUGUUUUUCAAUCAGAUAGCCAGUUAAACCAGAAAGAAAAAUCUUACCAAAAAGUUUCCACUUAGAAAAUUUAAUAGCCAAAAAAACUAAUAUAUGCAAGAAUGAGCAAAAACAUAUUGAUAAAAGAUACAUCAUAUUUUUAUUGAAAUAUUUCAUAAUGAAAUGUUUCACAUGGUUAAAGAACUACAAAUUCAUUCAAUGUAAAUAAAAACUUCAUGGGAAAUGUAUAAUAUAUGAGGGAUUAUUUGAUAUCUGAAAAAAUUAGAUAGAAAAUAAAGCUUAAAAACUUCUAGAAGGUAAUCCAGUAGAAUAUUUAUCAGCUUAGGCUAACAAAUGAUAUAAACAUGAUUAAAGAACAGCUAAACUUAAAUAAAAAUAUUAAGUUGGUGACAAAGUGUAAAACACCAUUCUUGAAAAUAUGCAAUUACAAAUAGGAAAGUGCUAAUAGGAGAAAAAAUAAGAUGUUUAUAAUGCAAAAAGUAUUAACAUUCAAAACUGUUGAUAAUAUAAAGA